GUGGGGAAUAUUGGACAAUGGGCGAAAGCCUGAUCCAGCCAUGCCGCGUGUGUGAAGAAGGCCUUUUGGUUGUAAAGCACUUUAAGCGAGGAGGAGGCUACUUGGAUUAAUACUCUAGGAUAGUGGACGUUACUCGCAGAAUAAGCACCGGCUAACUCUGUGCCAGCAGCCGCGGUAAUACAGAGGGUGCGAGCGUUAAUCGGAUUUACUGGGCGUAAAGCGUGCGUAGGCGGCUUUUUAAGUCGGAUGUGAAAUCCCUGAGCUUAACUUAGGAAUUGCAUUCGAUACUGGGAAGCUAGAGUAUGGGAGAGGAUGGUAGAAUUCCAGGUGUAGCGGUGAAAUGCGUAGAGAUCUGGAGGAAUACCGAUGGCGAAGGCAGCCAUCUGGCCUAAUACUGACGCUGAGGUACGAAAGCAUGGGGAGCAAACAGGAUUAGAUACCCGUGUAGUCC
Molecule: ribosomal RNA, 451 nt
Filed under: uncultured bacterium
Lineage: Bacteria
Description: partial 16S ribosomal RNA
Rfam family: Bacterial small subunit ribosomal RNA
Source: RNAcentral